RNAcentral lists this ribosomal RNA (484 nucleotides) under uncultured bacterium. RNAcentral describes it as "partial 16S ribosomal RNA". It matches the Rfam family "Bacterial small subunit ribosomal RNA", at positions 30 to 507 of the family's 1533-position model. The record is from RNAcentral.
AUUGAACGCUGGCGGCAGGCCUAACACAUGCAAGUCGAGCGGACGAAGGGAGCUUGCUCCUGGAUUCAGCGGCGGACGGGCGAGUAAUGCCUAGGAAGCUGCCUGGUAGAGGGGGAUAACGUCCGGAAACGGGCGCUAAUACCGCAUACGUCCAGAGGGAGAAAGUGGGGGAUCUUCGGACCUCACGCGAUCAGAUGAGCCUAGGUCGGAUUAGCUAGUUGGUGGGGUAAAGGCCUACCAAGGCGACGAUCCGUAACUGGUCUGAGAGGAUGAUCAGUCACACUGGAACUGAGACACGGUCCAGACUCCUACGGGAGGCAGCAGUGGGGAAUCUUGGACAAUGGGCGAAAGCCUGAUCCAGCCAUGCCGCGUGUGUGAAGAAGGUCUUCGGAUUGUAAAGCACUUUAAGUUGGGAGGAAGGGCAGUAAGUUAAUACCUUGCUGUUUUGACGUUACCAACAGAAUAAGCACCGGCUAACUUCGUG